This 494-nucleotide ribosomal RNA is filed under the name uncultured bacterium. RNAcentral's name for it is "partial 16S ribosomal RNA". It matches the Rfam family "Bacterial small subunit ribosomal RNA", at positions 28 to 507 of the family's 1533-position model. The record is from RNAcentral.
GACGAACGCUGGCGGCGUGCUUAACACAUGCAAGUCGAACGGAAAGGCCUGCUUUCCCUUGUGGAUUGCGGGUACUCGAGUGGCGAACGGGUGAGUAACACGUGAGUGAUCUGCCCCCAACUUGGGUAUAAGCCUGGGAAACUGGGUCUAAUUCCCGAUAGGACUGCAGGGUGGUGCCUGUGGUGGAAAACGAUUUUCUAGUGGUUGGGGAUGAGCUCGCGGCCUAUCAGCUUGUUGGUGGGGUAAUGGCCUACCAAGGCGGCGACGGGUAGCCGGCCUGAGAGGGGGGACGGCCACAUUGGGACUGAGAUACGGCCCAGACUCCUACGGGAGGCAGCAGUGGGGAAUAUUGCACAAUGGGCGGAAGCCUGAUGCAGCGACGCCGCGUGGGGGAUGACGGCCUUCGGGUUGUAAACUCCUUUCGACCGCGAGGAAGCCACCUGGUUGGAAGGGUGGUGACGGUAGUGGUAGAAGAAGCACCGGCUAACUACGUG